GCAGACAUCAUCUAGUUGGCAGGAUACCAGCUUGUGGCGCUGAUCACCUGAGUUCGACUCUCAGUGUCUGCA
RNAcentral lists this transfer RNA (72 nucleotides) under Polymyxa betae. RNAcentral describes it as "tRNA-His". It matches the Rfam family "tRNA". From Rfam's summary of the family: Transfer RNA (tRNA) molecules are approximately 80 nucleotides in length. Their secondary structure includes four short double-helical elements and three loops (D, anti-codon, and T loops). Further hydrogen bonds mediate the characteristic L-shaped molecular structure. tRNAs have two regions of fundamental functional importance: the anti-codon, which is responsible for specific mRNA codon recognition, and the 3' end, to which the tRNAs corresponding amino acid is attached (by aminoacyl-tRNA synthetases). tRNAs cope with the degeneracy of the genetic code in two manners: having more than one tRNA (with a specific anti-codon) for a particular amino acid; and 'wobble' base-pairing, i.e. permitting non-standard base-pairing at the 3rd anti-codon position. The record is from RNAcentral. Lineage: Eukaryota; Endomyxa; Phytomyxea; Plasmodiophorida; Plasmodiophoridae.